UGGGGAAUAUUGCACAAUGGAGAGAACUCUGAUGCAGCGACGCCGCGUGAACGAAGAAGGCUUUCGAGUCGUAAAGUUCUUUUAUAUGGGAAGAUAAUGACGGUACCAUAAGAAAAAGCCCCGGCUAACUACGUGCCAGCAGCCGCGGUAAUACGUAGGGGGCUAGCGUAGUCCGGAAUCACUGGGCGUAAAGGGUUCGCAGGCGGAAAUGCAAGUCAGGUGUAAAAGGCAGUAGCUUAACUACUGUAAGCAUUUGAAACUGCAUAUCUUGAGAAGAGUAGAGGUAAGUGGAAUUUUUAGUGUAGCGGUGAAAUGCGUAGAUAUUAAAAAGAAUACCGGUGGCGAAGGCGACUUACUGGGCUCAUUCUGACGCUGAGGAACGAAAGCGUGGGUAGCAAACAGG
RNAcentral lists this ribosomal RNA (403 nucleotides) under Bacteroidota bacterium. RNAcentral describes it as "Bacteroidetes bacterium partial 16S ribosomal RNA". It matches the Rfam family "Bacterial small subunit ribosomal RNA", at positions 355 to 776 of the family's 1533-position model. Lineage: Bacteria; Pseudomonadati; Bacteroidota. The record is from RNAcentral.